AUUUAUAUAGUUUAAUAUAAAACAUUACAUUUUCACUGUAAAAAUAAAAAAAUUUUUUUUUUAUAAAUA
RNAcentral lists this transfer RNA (69 nucleotides) under Pseudalbara parvula. RNAcentral describes it as "tRNA-Glu". Lineage: Eukaryota; Metazoa; Arthropoda; Insecta; Lepidoptera; Drepanidae. The record is from RNAcentral.